This 253-nucleotide ribosomal RNA is filed under the name uncultured bacterium. Its description in RNAcentral is "partial 16S ribosomal RNA". It matches the Rfam family "Bacterial small subunit ribosomal RNA", at positions 524 to 776 of the family's 1533-position model. The record is from RNAcentral.
GACGAACCGUGCAAACGUUGUUCGGAAUCACUGGGCUUAAAGGGCGCGUAGGCGGACCACCGAGUCGGGGGUGAAAUCUUUCAGCCUAACUGGAAAAGGGCUUCCGAUACUGGUGGUCUCGAGGGAGGUAGGGGUCGAGGGAACUGGUGGUGGAGCGGUGAAAUGCGUAGAUAUCACUAGGAACGCCGGUGGCGAAAGCGCUCGACUGGACCUCUUCUGACGCUGAGGCGCGAAAGCCAGGGGAGCAAACGGG